RNAcentral lists this ribosomal RNA (429 nucleotides) under Chloroflexota bacterium. RNAcentral describes it as "Chloroflexi bacterium partial 16S ribosomal RNA". It matches the Rfam family "Bacterial small subunit ribosomal RNA", at positions 355 to 776 of the family's 1533-position model. The record is from RNAcentral. Lineage: Bacteria; Bacillati; Chloroflexota.
UGGGGAAUAUUGCACAAUGGGCGCAAGCCUGAUGCAGCCAUGCCGCGUGUAUGAAGAAGGCCUUCGGGUUGUAAAGUACUUUCAGUCGGGAGGAAGGUGUCAAGGUUAAUAACCUUGGCAAUUGACGUUACCGACAGAAGAAGCACCGGCUAACUCCGUGCCAGCAGCCGCGGUAAUACGGAGGGUGCAAGCGUUAAUCGGAAUUACUGGGCGUAAAGCGCACGCAGGCGGUUGAUUGAGUCAGAUGUGAAAUCCCCGGGCUUAACCCGGGAAAUGCAUCUGAUACUGGUUAGCUUGAGUUCUGGAGGGGGGGGGAGAAUUUCAUGUGUAGCGGUGAAAUGCGUAGAGAUGGGGGGGAAUUCCGGGGGCGAAGGCGGCCCCCUGGACAAAGACUGACGCUCAGGUGCGAAAGCGUGGGGAGCAAACAGG